This 377-nucleotide ribosomal RNA is filed under the name Salmonella enterica. Its description in RNAcentral is "partial 23S ribosomal RNA". It matches the Rfam family "Bacterial large subunit ribosomal RNA", at positions 2566 to 2925 of the family's 2925-position model. The record is from RNAcentral. Lineage: Bacteria; Pseudomonadati; Pseudomonadota; Gammaproteobacteria; Enterobacterales; Enterobacteriaceae.
CAAGGGUAUGGCUGUUCGCCAUUUAAAGUGGUACGCGAGCUGGGUUUAGAACGUCGUGAGACAGUUCGGUCCCUAUCUGCCGUGGGCGCUGGAGAACUGAGGGGGGCUGCUCCUAGUACGAGAGGACCGGAGUGGACGCAUCACUGGUGUUCGGGUUGUCAUGCCAAUGGCACUGCCCGGUAGCUAAAUGCGGAAGAGAUAAGUGCUGAAAGCAUCUAAGCACGAAACUUGCCCCGAGAUGAGUUCUCCCUGAGACUUUAAGUCUCCUGAAGGAACGUUGAAGACGACGACGUUGAUAGGCCGGGUGUGUAAGCGCAGCGAUGCGUUGAGCUAACCGGUACUAAUGAACCGUGAGGCUUAACCUUACAACGCCGAAG